Molecule: unclassified non-coding RNA, 377 nt
Filed under: Hevea brasiliensis (rubber tree)
Lineage: Eukaryota; Viridiplantae; Streptophyta; Magnoliopsida; Malpighiales; Euphorbiaceae
Source: RNAcentral
GAAAAAUUCACAAUUUGUUUGAUUAAUAAUCUCAUUUUUUUGGUUAGCAAUCUUUCAAUUUUAGAAAAAUGCCUUCAAAGAAGAAGAAUCAGAAGUCAGCAUCAAGGCUUUCACAGUCAGAACUUAGUAAUACUUCAUCGGAUGUGGAAUUUACUGAAGGGGAGCUUAAGUGUUGUCUUGAAGAAGCUUCGAGAAAGUUCCCUUCUUUGAUUUCUGAAACAGAUUUUAUUGGUCGAAUAUCAGAAGAUGCUGUGGAGACUGUGGAUACCAAAGGCUGUAAAAUUUGGCUUUCGGAGUCUUCCAUGCUUGCUUCUUCUAUUUCUCCUGGCUCCAUUGUAUCGGUAUCCCUUGCUUCUUUGAAGAAAUAUGAAAGUAAC